GUGCCUUGAUUAUUUCUUAUUUUACAAAGUUAUUUCUGUCAUACAAUCAGUAAUUUAUUUUGCAAUAUUAUAAAUUCUCUGUAUGUUAAAAUCAUCUGUUAUUGAAAAACUAAAUUUCAACUUUUUUUACUCAUUGAAUAUACAACAUUGUUAUCUUAUGAAAACCGUUUUUUUUUUUAAAUGUGCACAUGAUCAAUGCUAUUACAACCC
This 210-nucleotide long non-coding RNA is filed under the name Mytilus galloprovincialis (Mediterranean mussel). Lineage: Eukaryota; Metazoa; Mollusca; Bivalvia; Mytilida; Mytilidae. The record is from RNAcentral.